This is a long non-coding RNA of Chiroxiphia lanceolata (lance-tailed manakin), 201 nucleotides long. RefSeq lists it as uncharacterized. NCBI's taxonomy places the organism in Eukaryota, Metazoa, Chordata, Aves, Passeriformes, Pipridae. The record is from RefSeq and is a predicted model, not a curated record. The transcript is spliced from 2 exons.
GAGGAGGGGAAGGCAGGAAGGAGGAGAGAGGAGGGGAAAAAAAGGCACCGCGGCAGAGGCGCCGGCAGCGCGGAGAAGGGUCGGCGGCCGGCGGGCACCCCCGCACCCAUCAGCCGGAUCAAGACUCCGUGUGGAUUAAAACCAUUGGGAAGAAGGAGGAAAAAAAAAACCAAACCAAAACCAACCAAAAACCAAAAAAAA